GACGAACGCUGGCGGCGUGCUUAACACAUGCAAGUCGAACGGAAAGGCCCUGCUUUUGCGGGGUGCUCGAGUGGCGAACGGGUGAGUAACACGUGAGUAACCUGCCCUUGACUUUGGGAUAACUUCAGGAAACUGGGGCUAAUACCGGAUAGGAGCUCCUGCUGCAUGGUGGGGGUUGGAAAGUUUCGGCGGUUGGGGAUGGUUUGGCGGCUUAUGAGCUUGAUAGUGGGGUAGUGGCGUACAAAGGCUUUGACGGGUAGCCGGCCUGAGAGGGUGACCAGCCUCAUUGCGACUGAGAGAGGGCGCAGACUCCAACGUGACGCAGCAGUGGGGAGUAUUGCGCAGUGGGCGGGAGCCUGUGGCAGCGACCCUGCGUGCGGAAUGCCGUCCUUCGGGGUGUAAACCGCUUUCGCCUGUGACGAGGCGGGAUUGACGGUAAUGAGUAAGGAAGCACCGGCUAACUACGUG
RNAcentral lists this ribosomal RNA (468 nucleotides) under uncultured bacterium. RNAcentral describes it as "partial 16S ribosomal RNA". It matches the Rfam family "Bacterial small subunit ribosomal RNA", at positions 28 to 507 of the family's 1533-position model. The record is from RNAcentral.